UGAGGAAUAUUGGGCAAUGGGCGCAAGCCUGACCCAGCCAUGCCGCGUGAAGGAUGACGGCCCUAUGGGUUGUAAACUGCUUUUCCAGGGGGAGAAUUUUUCUGUCGUGACAGGAAUUGACGGUACCCUGGGAAUAAGCAUCGGCUAACUCCGUGCCAGCAGCCGCGGUAAUACGGAGGAUGCGAGCGUUAUCCGGAUUUAUUGGGUUUAAAGGGUGCGUAGGCGGAUUGAUAAGUCAGUGGUGAAAACCUGCAGCUUAACUGUAGACUUGCCGUUGAUACUGUCAGUCUUGAGUGUGGUCAAGGUAGGCGGAAUGUGUAAUGUAGCGGUGAAAUGCUUAGAUAUUACACAGAACACCGAUUGCGAAGGCAGCUUACUGGGCCAUUACUGACGCUGAUGCACGAAAGCGUGGGGAUCGAACAG
Molecule: ribosomal RNA, 423 nt
Filed under: uncultured bacterium
Lineage: Bacteria
Description: bacterial SSU rRNA
Rfam family: Bacterial small subunit ribosomal RNA
Source: RNAcentral